Molecule: ribosomal RNA, 446 nt
Filed under: uncultured bacterium
Lineage: Bacteria
Description: partial 16S ribosomal RNA
Rfam family: Bacterial small subunit ribosomal RNA
Source: RNAcentral
UCCAGACUCCUACGGGAGGCAGCAGUGGGGGAUAUUGCACAAUGGGGGGAACCCUGAUGCAGCGACGCCGCGUGGGUGAAGGAGCGUUUCGGCGCGUAAAGCCCUAUCGGCAGGGAAGAAGGAGGACGGUACCUGACUAAGAAGCCCCGGCUAACUACGUGCCAGCAGCCGCGGUAAUACGUAGGGGGCAAGCGUUAUCCGGAUUUACUGGGUGUAAAGGGAGCGUAGACGGCGAUGCAAGUCUGAAGUGAAAGGCGGGGGCCCAACCCCCGGACUGCUUUGGAAACUGUAUGGCUGGAGUGCAGGAGAGGUAAGUGGAAUUCCUAGUGUAGCGGUGAAAUGCGUAGAUAUUAGGAGGAACACCAGUGGCGAAGGCGGCCUGCUGGGCUUUUACUGACGCUGAGGCUCGAAAGUGUGGGGAGCAAACAGGAUUAGAUACCCCGGUA